UACGUAGGGGGCAAGCGUUGUCCGGAUUUACUGGGCGUAAAGGGCGUGUAGGCGGUUUUUUAAGUCAGAUGUGAAAGUUCGGGGCUCAACCCCGGAAUUGCAUUUGAAACUGGAGAACUUGAGUACUGGAGAGGUAAGUGGAAUUCCUAGUGUAGCGGUGAAAUGCGUAGAUAUUAGGAGGAACACCAGUGGCGAAGGCGACUUACUGGACAGAUACUGACGCUGAGGCGCGAAAGCGUGGGGAGCGAACAGGAUUAGAUACCCUGGUAGUCCACGCCGUAAACGAUGAGUGCUAGGUGUUGGGGCAACUCAGUGCUGUAGUUAACACAAUAAGCACUCCGCCUGGGGAGUACGAUCGCAAGAUUGAA
Molecule: ribosomal RNA, 368 nt
Filed under: uncultured bacterium
Lineage: Bacteria
Description: bacterial SSU rRNA
Rfam family: Bacterial small subunit ribosomal RNA
Source: RNAcentral